Long non-coding RNA from Sinocyclocheilus rhinocerous, 707 nucleotides. RefSeq lists it as uncharacterized. The transcript is spliced from 3 exons. NCBI's taxonomy places the organism in Eukaryota, Metazoa, Chordata, Actinopteri, Cypriniformes, Cyprinidae. The record is from RefSeq and is a predicted model, not a curated record.
CGCGCUCUGUGCGGAUCCGGUGCUGCUCCGCUCGUUCCCCCCUCCGGUUCUCCUGGUGGUCAACAUAGACAACAGGUUCCUCGGCAGCAUCUACAUAAGAAAAGACAGCCAUGUCAGCUAUGACUGCAAUGUGAAGAUCCACAGCAUUGACGCAAGACCCAAGAGAUACAGAGAAGCCCUGAAGACACGUCUGUUAGCAGAAACUAAAAGGUAACAUUUAACUGAGGUAUCAGGGUAAAAGCCCAGGAGCCGAUGUGCAAACCGGAUCAUCUACAGGGAAGAGACCUGAUUCCCAUUUGGGCCGGCCGAGAGAGGGAGAGACUGAGAUUGCCAUUGUGCUCCAAACAACAGCCCUUCUCAACAGCCUCAAACACAUGAACCUUUCUCUGCUUGAACACCGAAUGGAAUGUUUUAACUAUGGUUUUAGGAAAAACAGCAGCCAAAUUAUAGAAAAUUAAGUCUACCAUGCAUGCUUUUUAAUCAAUAUGAAUAAUCAGAAGAAUCAUCAAAUGCCAUUUGUUAAGUGUCUCUAAACGAUGUUGUUUAUAUCCACCUGUAUUUAUACUGAGUCACGCAUGCAUGUAUAAUAAAAUCGACUAUUAAGUGAAACAUCACCGCAAUGCAUUUGAUCCCACAAUAGCAUAGAUUUAGUUUAUAGCCAUAAUUAUAGAUGUCCAAAAAAUCUGUGUAAAAAAGGUAUGGAAGCU